AAUUAGUAUAUUUUGAUUACGAUUACCUUCCAAGUAAAAAAACUCUUUGAAAGAGAUU
RNAcentral lists this transfer RNA (58 nucleotides) under Naesiotus nux. RNAcentral's name for it is "tRNA-Gly". The record is from RNAcentral. Lineage: Eukaryota; Metazoa; Mollusca; Gastropoda; Stylommatophora; Orthalicidae.